GCUGGUUUCCAUAGAGGAGGGGGUACACCCGGCUCCAUUCCGAACCCGGAAGUUAAGCCCUCCAUCGCCGAUGAUACUGCAUAUUCAUGUGUGGGAAAGUAGGUCGAGACCAGCU
This 115-nucleotide ribosomal RNA is filed under the name Deltaproteobacteria bacterium. Lineage: Bacteria; Pseudomonadati; Myxococcota; Myxococcia. The record is from RNAcentral.